UCCGGCUUAUCACCGGCAGUCCCACUAGAGUGCCCAACUUAAUGCUGGCAACUAAUGGCAAGGGUUGCGCUCGUUGCGGGACUUAACCCAACAUCUCACGACACGAGCUGACGACAGCCAUGCAGCACCUGUGUCCAGGUCCCCUUUCGGGCACCCCUGCAUUUCUGCAGGGUUCCUGGCAUGUCAAGGGUAGGUAAGGUUUAUCGCGUUGCAUCGAAUUAAUCCACAUAAUCCACCGCUUGUGCGGGUCCCCGUCAAUUCCUUUGAGUUUUAACCUUGCGGCCGUACUCCCCAGGCGGUCAACUUCACGCGUUAGCUUCGUUACCAAGGAAUAACUUCCCCGACAACUAGUUGACAUCGUUUAGGGCGUGGACUAC
This 377-nucleotide unclassified non-coding RNA is filed under the name uncultured Gammaproteobacteria bacterium. RNAcentral describes it as "contains 16S-23S intergenic spacer region". Lineage: Bacteria; Pseudomonadati; Pseudomonadota; Gammaproteobacteria. The record is from RNAcentral.